GAUGAACGCUGGCGGCGUGCCUAACACAUGCAAGUCGAACGAAGCACCUUACCUGAUUCUUCGGAUGAGAGUUUGGUGACUGAGUGGCGGACGGGUGAGUAACGCGUGGGUAACCUGCCCUGUACAGGGGGAUAACAGCUGGAAACGGCUGCUAAUACCGCAUACGCGCACGAGGAGACAUCUCCUUGUGUGAAAAACUCCGGUGGGACAGGAUGGGCCCGCGUCUGAUUAGCUGGUUGGCAGGGUAACGGCCUACCAAGGCAACGAUCAGUAGCCGGGCGGGGAGGGGGAAACGCCACAAUUGAAAUGGGGCCCAGUCCCAAACCCUACGGGAGGGAGGAGUGGGGGAUAUUGCAACAUGGGGGAAACCCUGAUGCAGCAACGCCGCGUGAGUGAAGAAGUAUUUCGGUAUGUAAAGCUCUAUCAGCAGGGAAGAUAAUGACGGUACCUGACGAAGAAGCUCCGGCUAACUACGUG
Molecule: ribosomal RNA, 477 nt
Filed under: uncultured bacterium
Lineage: Bacteria
Description: partial 16S ribosomal RNA
Rfam family: Bacterial small subunit ribosomal RNA
Source: RNAcentral